CACGUGGGCGGAUAUUUAAGUCAGGGGUGAAAUCCCAGAGCUCAACUCUGGAACUGCCUUUGAUACUGGGCAUCUUGAGUAUGGAAGAGGUAAGUGGAAUUCCGAGUGUAGAGGUGAGAUUCGUAGAUAUUCGGAGGAACACCAGUGGCGAAGGCGGCUUACUGGUCCAUUACUGACGCUGAGGUGCGAAAGCGUGGGGAGCAAACA
RNAcentral lists this ribosomal RNA (207 nucleotides) under uncultured bacterium. RNAcentral describes it as "partial 16S ribosomal RNA". It matches the Rfam family "Bacterial small subunit ribosomal RNA", at positions 568 to 774 of the family's 1533-position model. The record is from RNAcentral.